Molecule: unclassified non-coding RNA, 379 nt
Filed under: uncultured Micrococcales bacterium
Lineage: Bacteria; Bacillati; Actinomycetota; Actinomycetes; Micrococcales
Description: contains 16S-23S intergenic spacer region
Source: RNAcentral
UCCGAGUUGACCCCGGCAGUCUCCUAUGAGUCCCCACCAUCACGUGCUGGCAACAUAGGACGAGGGUUGCGCUCGUUGCGGGACUUAACCCAACAUCUCACGACACGAGCUGACGACAACCAUGCACCACCUGUAUACGAGUGUCCAAAGAGUCUCACAUCUCUGCAAGAUUCCCGUAUAUGUCAAGCCUUGGUAAGGUUCUUCGCGUUGCAUCGAAUUAAUCCGCAUGCUCCGCCGCUUGUGCGGGCCCCCGUCAAUUCCUUUGAGUUUUAGCCUUGCGGCCGUACUCCCCAGGCGGGGAACUUAAUGCGUUAGCUGCGGCGCAGAAUCCGUGGAAUGGACCCCACACCUAGUUCCCAACGUUUACGGCAUGGACUAC